GUCCACGCCCUAAACGAUGUCGACUAGUCGUUCGGAGCAGCAAUGCACUGAGUGACGUAGCUAACGCGUGAAGUCGACCGCCUGGGGAGUACGGCCGCAAGGUUAAACUCAAAGGAAUUGACGGGGACCCGCACAAGCGGUGGAUGAUGUGGAUUAAUUCGAUGCAACGCGAAAACCUUACCUACCCUUGACAUGUCUGGAACCCUGGUGAGAGCCGGGGGUGCCUUCGGGAGCCAGAACACAGGUGCUGCAUGGCUGUCGU
RNAcentral lists this ribosomal RNA (262 nucleotides) under uncultured bacterium. Its description in RNAcentral is "partial 16S ribosomal RNA". It matches the Rfam family "Bacterial small subunit ribosomal RNA", at positions 793 to 1055 of the family's 1533-position model. The record is from RNAcentral.